This 492-nucleotide ribosomal RNA is filed under the name uncultured bacterium. Its description in RNAcentral is "partial 16S ribosomal RNA". It matches the Rfam family "Bacterial small subunit ribosomal RNA", at positions 29 to 507 of the family's 1533-position model. The record is from RNAcentral.
AGUGAACGCUGGCGGUAGGCCUAACACAUGCAAGUCGAACGGCAGCACAGUAAGAGCUUGCUCUUACGGGUGGCGAGUGGCGGACGGGUGAGGAAUACAUCGGAAUCUACUUUUUCGUGGGGGAUAACGUAGGGAAACUUACGCUAAUACCGCAUACGACCUACGGGUGAAAGCAGGGGAUCUUCGGACCUUGCGCGAUUGAAUGAGCCGAUGUCGGAUUAGCUAGUUGGCGGGGUAAAGGCCCACCAAGGCGACGAUCCGUAGCUGGUCUGAGAGGAUGAAUCGGCCAAACUGAAACGAGAACAGGGUCCGGCUCCUUAGGGGAGGCAGCAGUGGGAAAUUUUGACAAUGGGCGCAAGCCUGAUCCAGCCAUACCGCGUGGGUGAAGAAGGCCUUCGGGUUGUAAAGCCCUUUUGUUGGGAAAGAAAAGCAGCAGGUUAAUACCCCGCUGUUCUGACGGUACCCAAAGAAUAAGCACCGGCUAACUUCGUG